AUGGAUUCCGCCUUCAAGGAAUAUUUCGACAAGCUGACUUCCUCGCUGGACAGAAUCCACGCGGAUAUCCGUUCGACGGCGGCCAAAUUGGAGGAUCUGGUCGCCUGGCGCCCGGAGCUGGAACGGCGCGUCGACCGGCUCUCCAUCGCAGUCGCCGAACUCCAACAAGGGCGACCCGCGCCCAAGGCUGCUCCGACACUCGUUCACCUGCGCGACCCGACAGACGACAACAAGGGUCCAGAGGGCGGCAUCGCAUCAGGGCCGAUCGGCCACGGCAUCGACAUCCUACCGCGGGGUCUGGCACCGACGUUCGCGUCGGUGUCCACCCCGGCCAACGGUUAG
This 342-nucleotide ribosomal RNA is filed under the name Triticum aestivum (bread wheat). RNAcentral's name for it is "partial small subunit ribosomal RNA". The record is from RNAcentral. Lineage: Eukaryota; Viridiplantae; Streptophyta; Magnoliopsida; Poales; Poaceae.